CUUAAAUAACACUGAGAUAAGUGC
This 24-nucleotide non-coding RNA is filed under the name Gossypium hirsutum (cotton). Lineage: Eukaryota; Viridiplantae; Streptophyta; Magnoliopsida; Malvales; Malvaceae. The record is from RNAcentral.